AUUGAACGCUGGCGGCAGGCCUAACACAUGCAAGUCGAGCGGAUGAAGAGGGCUUGCUCUCUGAUUCAGCGGUGGACGGGUGAGUAAUGCCUAGGAAUCUGCCUGGUAGUGGGGGACAACGUUUCGAAAGGAACGCUAAUACCGCAUACGUCCUACGGGAGAAAGUGGGGGAUCUUCGGACCUCACGCUAUCAGAUGAGCCUAGGUACGAUUAGCUAGUUGGUGAGGUAAAGGCUCACCAAGGCGACGAUCGUUAACUGGUCUGAGAGGAUGAUCAGUCACACUGGAACUGAGACACGGUCCAGACUCCUACGGGAGGCAGCAGUGGGGAAUAUUGGACAAUGGGCGAAAGCCUGACCCAGCCAUGCCGCGUGUGUGAAGAAGGUCUUCGGAUUGUAAAGCACUUUAAGUUGGGAGGAAGGGCAGUAAGUUAAUACCUUGCUGUUUUGACGUUACCGACAGAAUAAGCACCGGCUAACUUCGUGCCAGCCGCCGCGGUAA
RNAcentral lists this ribosomal RNA (500 nucleotides) under uncultured bacterium. RNAcentral's name for it is "partial 16S ribosomal RNA". It matches the Rfam family "Bacterial small subunit ribosomal RNA", at positions 30 to 523 of the family's 1533-position model. The record is from RNAcentral.